GAUGAACGCUGGCGGCGUGCCUAAUACAUGCAAGUAGAACGCUUAAGUUCGAUCUUGCUUUGCUGCAUGAGUGGCGAUCGGUUGAGUAACGGGUAGGUAACCGGCGGUAAAUGGUGGGAUAACUAGUGGAAACUAUAGCUAAUACCAGAUAACAACACCUAUUUCAUGAUAGUGCUUGAAAAGUGGUAGCUGCUGGACUACUAGCUGAUUCUGCGUUGUAUUAGCUAGUUGGUGAGGUAAAGGCUGACCAAGGCGACGAUACAUAGCCGACCUGAGAGGGUGAUCGGCCACACUGGGACUGAGAAACGGCCCAGACUCCUACGGGAGGCAGCAGUAGGGAAUCUUCGGCAAUGGACGGAAGUCUGACCGAGCAACGCCGCGUGAGUGAAGAAGGUUUUCGGAUCGUAAAGCUCUGUUGUAAGAGAAGAACGGGUGUGAGAGUGGAAAGUUCACAAUGUGACGGUAUCUUACCAGAAAGGGACGGCUAACUACGUG
This 495-nucleotide ribosomal RNA is filed under the name uncultured bacterium. RNAcentral describes it as "partial 16S ribosomal RNA". It matches the Rfam family "Bacterial small subunit ribosomal RNA", at positions 28 to 507 of the family's 1533-position model. The record is from RNAcentral.